UCUCUCAAAUCAAACAACUCCAUUUUAAAUUCAUCAUUCUCUCCUUCAAUCAAUAUUGUUGCCAGUGGUUUCAAAAGUAAAUUUAAAUUAUUUUCUUUCAGAUAUGCACUGUUACUACUGACUUCAGAAGCAAAAAAAACCAACACAAACAACCAAGUACAUGUUUGGUUCAUUAGCAAUAAAUUAUCUACUUUAAUAACCGUGAUUUCCUUGAUUAACAGGCGGAGGUAUGAUAGCAGGAGUAGCAAUAGCUGCCAAAGCUAUUAACUCGGCUAUUUGUAUUUUGGUUGCUGAGCAUAAAGGAGCUGAUGAUAUGCAUCGCAAUCUAAGACAACAAGGAGGAUAAUAAAAUUGCCUGAGAUAAAUAUUAUAGCAGACAGGCUUCGAGCAUUUCUCGGAGACCACACAUGGCCUAUUGUACAAGAUCUUGUUGAAGAUAUAAUCACAGUGGAAGACUUUGAAAUCAUCAAAGCAAUGAAACUGUGUUUUAAACUUUUUAAGAUUGUUUUAGAAUCAUGUGGAGCUGCUGGCCUUGUUGUUGUGCUAUCUGAAACUUUUCAGAAAAAUCCUGCAUAAGAGUAGUAGUUUAAGGAGGAAAUGUUGAUAUGGAUGUGAUUUAGGAGUCUUUGAACAGAUGAAAAUGACUCUAUUGCAGAUGAAUAUUAUUAUUAAAUCACUGAUGUAACAUUUUGUGUGAAUUAUCUCAAUAACUAGUUGACUUUUGGAUU
RNAcentral lists this long non-coding RNA (728 nucleotides) under Medicago truncatula (barrel medic). RNAcentral's name for it is "lncRNA gene14225". Lineage: Eukaryota; Viridiplantae; Streptophyta; Magnoliopsida; Fabales; Fabaceae. The record is from RNAcentral.